Molecule: long non-coding RNA, 3026 nt
Organism: Equus asinus (donkey)
Lineage: Eukaryota; Metazoa; Chordata; Mammalia; Perissodactyla; Equidae
Source: Ensembl
CGCGUCUGGACUGUGCGCACGCGGAGCGCGCGGAAGCCGGGCGGGGAGGGAGGGGCGCCCGCCCGCCGGUCCCCUUCCCGGGACUGGCAGGCCCCGCCUUUCAUCUUUUCAUCGUUUGGAGCCCCUUUCCCGGAAAUCCCGAUGUCUGCUGCACACGGGUCUCUACCGGUUAGGGAUUAAGAGUGAGUCGGCAGGAGUCAAACAGAGUGAGAAGGCUUAAUUCACAGGCCCCUAGACACUGAACGUGAGAGGGUAGAAGAAAGGCUUUUUUCCUCCUCUGCUGACCUAAAGGAAAUAAUACGGAAUAUUGGAACAAGUGCUGAUCAAAGAGAAGCAUCUCUGGAAUGCCUCCUGAGCCAGGCAUCACGACAGGUGGAGCUCCCAAGACACAGUCUCUGCCCAUCAGAGUUCAUCCUGCGUGGAAGACACACGCUGACAGGCAGAGGCCAGUUCCCAGCCAGCUGUGCGGGGGCUCAGGGGCCACGGCGUGGGGAGCCCGAGAGCUGAUGGAUACAAAGAGAUAUAACUGAACCAAUGAGAACACGAAAUGGAAAGAUUCUCUGGUUGCUGGUACAGCGACUGUGAAAUACUAUAAAUCUCAGCCCAGAAGGAAUUAAUUUGAUUAUGUAGAUGCAGACUCAAAAUUAGUAGGACCAUAAUCCCUUGGGGGAUCCGCAUUUGUUCUGAACGCUCUUACUGAAUGUUCCUGGGAACACAGCACACAAUAUUAUUGUUAAGCCACCAGGACGGGGAGCGCAGUAAGUCGGAUGGCAGAGAGAUACUAGAAGUCAUGUGCUUGCCUUGCUUAACGAAAUCUGAUGAAGAAAGCUCGAGAUACCAACUACAGGGCUUAGGCUACGGCACGGGGAACCUGACCCCAGGAGCCUCUUACAGAUAUGAGUCCCCGGACUGAGGCACAGAUGUGCCCAGAGCAUAUGGUCCUGAUUUGUAUCAGAGAACUGGAGGCUUAUAGAUGAUCCCCUGCCUCAAAGGAAACAGAGAACACCCUUACUUAGUUAAGGUCUUGUUAAAAUCUAGCAAGACCUGCUCUAAGGGGCGGGCCUCACCGGAAAGACAGUCAGAGAAGGGCUGUUUAUUCAGCAGGGGUUGAAUAAAUGCCUUCUGUACGUGAGGCACAACACAAAACAAUGGGAAAACGCAGAAUAAGAUAAACGGGAUCUAUGCCAUCAGGGGGCUUGUGGGCCAAAGACUGCUGACCAAGGCGUUCCCAUGGAACUCAGUUUCCCCAUCUGGAAAAGGGGAAACCUCCCUCCCUCACAUAGGAAACAUGAAGAUUAAAUGAUGCACGUAAAGCAAGUAGCGAAUGCUUGGCAGGUAUCGAGCGCACGACAGUAGCUGGUUCCGCCACCCUUUCUGUGAUGCAAGAGUCUGCGUCCUCUGGGUUACUCUGAAUCUUGCCCACUCUGGUCUGACACCAGGACACCAUGGCCCCAACUCUAGCCCUCCAGCUGCUGUCCUAACCCAGAUGUCCCCAGGAUGUCUGAAGUUGCCAUUACAGUGCACCCCACCCCCACACCAAGACUGCCCACUGCAGGGCGGACAUUUAUUUGGUUAGGAAAGCCACCUGGUUUUAAAAUGUGAAUAUAUUUGGGCUGCAACAGUGAUUUCAAUUUGUAGAUUACACCACGGUUGUGCUAUCAAGCAGUGUUCAGGUUUAUUAAUUUUACAUGCAUUGGAGUCUUUGAAAUUGUUGGUUCGUAUGUAUGGAAAUAAAUUUUCAUGAAAUGGACUACAAGCUCUGUUAUACAAGACAUCUUUAAUGCUAGAGUAAAAUAGAUUUUAAAUUACUAGAAUGAUAGCUUUCUACUAUAAAUUUGUGUAGAAAAAGGGGAAAAAGAAAGCACAGAUAGAACAAAAAAAAAGAGGAAGAAGGGAAAGUAGAUACGAAGUCGCUGUACUUUUGGCUAUGUUGGGGAGAAAUUUUCUCCCGUUUUCCUGGAACCCAGACCUUUUUCCACCCUUAGGAAGUGCUGUAAGGGUUGGGGCUAUUGAUCUCAGCCCCACUAGUGCUCAGGAGCAACUUGGGACAGCUCGAGUGGAGCUGUGGCUGAGCUGGAAGGAAAUGACACGGGGCCGAAGUGAGGUUGCAAUAGCAGGCAGCCUCCAAGAGCAUCUGCUUCAGAUAACUGGGCUCAGACAGGGAGGAAACAGGAUCUCGCGGCCACUGAGCUGAAACGGGAGCCCAGACCCUCCGGUGAUGGGACCGAGGCUCUGCUGGCUGAUCUGUGGACCAGGGGGAGGAACUGGCGCAAUGGUUCUCACUAGGAUCACGCCGAGGUCUGGCUGCCUGAGAAUAAGGCUGUUCAGAGUCUCUCCUCUCCUUUGAGUUAAUUCCUCCAUCUGCCCUGGGCCACCACUCUACGGGCACACUUCAUAACUGCUUGCAGAAUGAUUCAGGUCUUCACGAAAUCAAAGCUAGCGCAGAGUACAGAAUCCCGAGGAGACCAAGGGAAGGCGACUUGGAGAGUGUCUGCUGUUAGAGAGGAAAUGUGGUAAGUUGAACCAGAAGCUUAGAUUUUUUUUUUCAAAGGCAUGAAGUUGCACAUGAUACUGCUUUACUGGACCUGACGAAGAAGGAAAUGAAAUUGGAAAGCAAGUUCUUUUAAUCUAGUCAGAAAAAAGAAAAAAUUUUUUUUUACAUUUCCCCCACAAUUUUCUGUUGUAUUCCCUUUAUAUACUCUUUUCUUUGCCUAAGAAUGAAUUUUGCAUUGUCAUUCUGUUAUUACCAGAAAGUUGUCUCACAUUAUUACUAGGUGUGACUACAAAGUAAGGGUAGUGAUUUCACCAGCCAUGCACGGGGAUCAGUGUCCUUAUUUCGUAUCAAAGCACACGCGGUAUUCUGUUUGCGUGGAGUGGAGGAUGUGAUUCGGGAUGUCACUGGCAAUCUCUGAUUUUACUUGUUCGCACAUGGAGUCAAGACUUAACAACUGAUUCCAGAACUUUGCAUUUCCAAAAUAGUUUACACUUUUAAAAGUAAUCAUAUAUUACUUACUUAAUAAUUCAAC